RNAcentral lists this ribosomal RNA (301 nucleotides) under uncultured bacterium. RNAcentral's name for it is "partial 16S ribosomal RNA". It matches the Rfam family "Bacterial small subunit ribosomal RNA", at positions 509 to 809 of the family's 1533-position model. The record is from RNAcentral.
CAGUCGCCACGGUAAUACGAAGGGUGCAAGCGUUAAUCGGAAUUACUGGGCGUAAAGCGUGCGUAGGCGGUUUGUUAAGUCUGUUGUGAAAUCCCCGGGCUCAACCUGGGAAUGGCAAUGGAUACUGGCAAGCUAGAGUGUGUCAGAGGAUGGUGGAAUUCCCGGUGUAGCGGUGAAAUGCGUAGAGAUCGGGAGGAACAUCAGUGGCGAAGGCGGCCAUCUGGGACAACACUGACGCUGAGGCACGAAAGCGUGGGGAGCAAACAGGAUUAGAUACCCCUGUAGUCCCUGUCUCUUAUAA